CCUUAUUUAUUAAAUUUCAUCCAACUUAACUACCUCACUAACUACAAUUAAUAAGGAUGUUUUAGUAAUACUAGUUUUACCAUCAAAAUCAACACAAUUAAUCAUUUCCUUAAUAAUCGUGCAUAAACCUCAAACGACUAUUAUUUAGAGACGGAUGGAGUAUUUCGAAACGUUGGCAAAAUAUGUUUCAAGAACCCAAUUUCAUCAAUAAUUGUUUGUUUAAUAAUAGAUUAAUAAUGUCUUUUCAAAUGUUAAUAAAUAGGUUAUUUGCAAGAAACUCAUUGUACAUUUAAUUUGUCUAUGACUAUUGUCUUGAUCAUUUUUAUUGUUGAAAAAGUUU
This 340-nucleotide long non-coding RNA is filed under the name Medicago truncatula (barrel medic). RNAcentral describes it as "long non-coding RNA (MTRU_LNC000547)". Lineage: Eukaryota; Viridiplantae; Streptophyta; Magnoliopsida; Fabales; Fabaceae. The record is from RNAcentral.